AUGAAUGAUAAUGUCAACCCUGAUAGCCUCUUUGACGAUGAGUAUUACCUGUUUGCUGGUGAAGGCUCAGAUCCUGAUGACAUGGAGCACGACGAAUUGGAAGACUCAAGUCACAAUACCUAUGUCGACCAUGAUCCAUUGGACUAUGUCUACUCAAACCUCCCAGACCACACACACAUCCUGAAGCACGCCGCAAAUUGCGAUCACUGCAAGGCCAAGAAGUUUGUGUCUGAGGCCCCGGGAUUCUGCUAUCGCAGUGGGCAGAUCCAGCUGAAGCAACCGGAGCCCGUCCCGGAGCUAAUGAGGCUUUGGUCUAGCAUGGAUGCGGACUCAAGGCAUUUUCGGGAGAACAUACGGUUCUUCAACGGCCACUUCUCCUUCACAACCCUCGGCGUCAGCCUUGAUGAAAGCUACACAAACAUGAAGUCUGGGGUGUACACGUUCCGGGCGCACGGCACCAUCUACCACAACGUUCAUUCCUUCGGGCCAACAUCACGUCCAGAUCAUCUACAGUUGUACUUCUACGACGACGACCCAGGCCUAACCCAUCGCAAGGCUGCCACCGAGCAAUUAGACCAAGAUGUCGUUAGAAAGUUAGUGGACAUACUCAGGGAAAACCCGUACUCCCAGUAG
Molecule: ribosomal RNA, 633 nt
Filed under: Triticum aestivum (bread wheat)
Lineage: Eukaryota; Viridiplantae; Streptophyta; Magnoliopsida; Poales; Poaceae
Description: partial small subunit ribosomal RNA
Source: RNAcentral